CGUGAGUGAGAAGGGUUUCGGCUCGUAAAGCUCUGUUGUUAAAGAAGAACACGUAUGAGAGUAACUGUUCAUACGUUGACGGUAUUUAACCAGAAAGUCACGGCUAACUACGUGCCAGCAGCCGCGGUAAUACGUAGGUGGCAAGCGUUAUCCGGAUUUAUUGGGCGUAAAGAGAGUGCAGGCGGUUUUCUAAGUCUGAUGUGAAAGCCUUCGGCUUAACCGGAGAAGUGCAUCGGAAACUGGAUAACUUGAGUGCAGAAGAGGGUAGUGGAACUCCAUGUGUAGCGGUGGAAUGCGUAGAUAUAUGGAAGAACACCAGUGGCGAAGGCGGCUACCUGGUCUGCAACUGACGCUGAGACUCGAAAGCAUGGGUAGCGAACA
Molecule: ribosomal RNA, 381 nt
Filed under: Limosilactobacillus fermentum
Lineage: Bacteria; Bacillati; Bacillota; Bacilli; Lactobacillales; Lactobacillaceae
Description: bacterial SSU rRNA
Rfam family: Bacterial small subunit ribosomal RNA
Source: RNAcentral